CGCAAGCCUGACGGAGCUACACCGCGUGAGGGAAGACGGCCUUUGGGCUGUAAACCUCUUUUCUCAGGGAAGAAGGACUGACGGUACCUGAGGAAUCAGCCUCGGCUAACUCCGUGCCAGCAGCCGCGGUAAUACGGAGGAGGCAAGCGUUAUCCGGAAUUAUUGGGCGUAAAGCGUCCGCAGGGGGUCUUCCAAGUCUGCUGUCAAAGCCCGGGGCUCAACCCCGACGCGGCAGUGGAAACUGGAUAGCUAGAGGUCGGUAGGGGCAAAGGGAAUUCCCAGUGUAGCGGUGAAAUGCGUAGAGAUUGGGAAGAACACCGGUGGCGAAAGCGCUCUACUGGGUCGCACCUGACCCUCAGGGACGAAAGCUAAGGGAGCG
Molecule: ribosomal RNA, 379 nt
Filed under: uncultured cyanobacterium
Lineage: Bacteria; Bacillati; Cyanobacteriota
Description: bacterial SSU rRNA
Rfam family: Bacterial small subunit ribosomal RNA
Source: RNAcentral